This 380-nucleotide long non-coding RNA is filed under the name Panicum hallii. RNAcentral's name for it is "long non-coding RNA (PHAL_LNC000905)". The record is from RNAcentral. Lineage: Eukaryota; Viridiplantae; Streptophyta; Magnoliopsida; Poales; Poaceae.
AGAGAUGUUUUGGCUAAACAGCAGACAUACACAAACUAACAGGGAUAAAAGCACUCAUAUGAAAGGUUUAACGAAACAUCACAUAUUUCUAUUUAAGAUCUAUAUUCCAUGGCUUACUUUUGAAUUACAACACAAGCAUACAACAUCAAGCACAAUAAAACAUUCAUUCCCUAACAUUUGACCUAAACCACACAUCAAAGACUUUCACUCAAGAUCACAACAUAAACUUAUAGGUUUUGACUUAGGGUUUCAAACGAAACUGAUUUUACAUUUUUAUGAACUUCCUAUGAAAAUCUAUGAAAUGUAGAAGUUCAUCGAUUUGAAAUAAAGAAAGUUCUGGAAAUUUUACAGAAAACAUCCUAGAACUAUCUAAAACGUAG